AGCAGCCGCGGUAAUUCCAGCUCCAAUAGCGUAUAUUAAAGUUGUUGCAGUUAAAAAGCUCGUAGUUGAAUUUCGGGAUCAAUACGUCGGUCGUGCUUUCGGGUACGUACUGGCGUCAUUGGUUUCUCCUUUCUGACGAACCAUGAUGUCAUUAAUUUGGUGUUAUGGGGAGUUAGGACUGUUACUUUGAAAAAAUUAGAGUGUUUAAAGCAGGCAUUAGCUUGAAUACAUUAGCAUGGAAUAAUGAAAUAGGACGUUCGAUCCUAUUUUGUUGGUUUCUAGGAUCAACGUAAUGAUUAAUAGGGAUAGUUGGGGGCAUUAGUAUUCAAUUGUCAGAGGUGAAAUUCUUGGAUUUAUUGAAGACUAACUACUGCGAAAGCAUUUGCCAAGGAUGUUUUCAUUAAUCAAGAACGAAAGUUAGGGGAUCGAAGACGAUCAGAUACCGUCGUAGUCUUAACCAUAAACUAUGCCGACUAGGGAUCGGAUGAUGUUAAUUUUUUAAUGACUCAUUCGGCGCCUUACG
RNAcentral lists this ribosomal RNA (523 nucleotides) under uncultured fungus. RNAcentral's name for it is "SSU rRNA". It matches the Rfam family "Eukaryotic small subunit ribosomal RNA", at positions 569 to 1092 of the family's 1831-position model. The record is from RNAcentral. RNAcentral also lists the same sequence under 2 other names. Lineage: Eukaryota; Fungi.